This 1008-nucleotide ribosomal RNA is filed under the name Triticum aestivum (bread wheat). Its description in RNAcentral is "partial small subunit ribosomal RNA". Lineage: Eukaryota; Viridiplantae; Streptophyta; Magnoliopsida; Poales; Poaceae. The record is from RNAcentral.
AUGGCAAUGGCAAUGGCCUCUUCUCUGUCGGUGCUGUUGCUCCUGUGCCUGGCGGCAUCGUCCUCGGCGCAGCUUUCGCCUAGGUUCUACGCGACGUCGUGCCCCAGGGCGCUGGCCAUCAUCAGGAGGGGUGUGGCGGCCGCCGUGAGGAGUGAGCGCCGCAUGGGAGCGUCGCUGCUCCGGCUGCAUUUCCACGACUGCUUUGUCCAAGUUAACAUACCUUCCUAUAUGUUCUUGUUGCCCCGCUACGUAAAUCACGGCUGCGACGCGUCCGUACUGCUGAGCGACACCGCCAGCUUCACCGGCGAGCAGGGGGCAGCUCCGAACGCCGGCUCAAUUCGUGGCAUGAACGUCAUCGACAACAUCAAGGCGCAGGUCGAGGCCGUGUGCACGCAGACUGUCUCGUGCGCCGACAUCCUCGCCGUGGCCGCCCGCGACUCCGUCGUCACCUUGGGAGGGCCUUCGUGGACCGUUCCUCUGGGAAGGAGGGACUCGACGACGGCGAGCUUGUCUCUGGCCAACAGCGACCUUCCGCCGCCAUCCUUCGACGUGGCCAACCUCACGGCCAACUUCGCCGCCAAGGGGCUCAGCGUGACCGACAUGGUCGCCCUCUCUGGCGCCCACACCAUCGGACAAUCGCAGUGCCGGUUUUUCAGGAGCAGGCUCUACAACGAGACCAACAUCGGUACGGCCUUCGCAACAUCUCUCAAGGCCAACUGUCCCCGGCCGACCGGGUCCGGCGACAGCAGCCUGGCACCGCUGGACACGACGACGCCCAACGCGUUCGACAACGCGUACUACCGCAACUUGAUGUCACAGAAGGGGCUCCUGCACUCUGACCAGGUUCUGAUCAACGACGGACGCACCGCGGGCCUGGUCCGGACGUACUCGUCGGGGUCGGCGCAGUUUAACAGGGACUUCAGGGCGGCCAUGGUCAGGAUGGGGAACAUCAGCCCGCUCACCGGGACGCAGGGGCAGGUCAGGCUCAGCUGCUCCAGGGUGAACUAA